GUCUAUGCCCAUACCACCCUGAAAGUGCCAGAUCUUAUCUGAUCUCAGAAGCUAAGCAGAGUCGGGCCUGCUUUGUACUUGGAUGGGAGACCAUCUUUGCUUAUUUCCAGGACCAGCCU
Mustela putorius furo (domestic ferret) is the source of this 119-nucleotide ribosomal RNA. Lineage: Eukaryota; Metazoa; Chordata; Mammalia; Carnivora; Mustelidae. The record is from Ensembl.